RNAcentral lists this transfer RNA (74 nucleotides) under Bacteroidota bacterium. Its description in RNAcentral is "tRNA-Lys". It matches the Rfam family "tRNA". Rfam says of the family: Transfer RNA (tRNA) molecules are approximately 80 nucleotides in length. Their secondary structure includes four short double-helical elements and three loops (D, anti-codon, and T loops). Lineage: Bacteria; Pseudomonadati; Bacteroidota. The record is from RNAcentral.
GACCUCGUAGCUCAGCUGGUAGAGCAUAACACUUUUAAUGUUGGGGCCCUGGGUUCGAGUCCCAGCGGGGUCAC